This 1480-nucleotide ribosomal RNA is filed under the name Actinomyces oris. RNAcentral's name for it is "bacterial SSU rRNA". It matches the Rfam family "Bacterial small subunit ribosomal RNA". The record is from RNAcentral. Lineage: Bacteria; Bacillati; Actinomycetota; Actinomycetes; Actinomycetales; Actinomycetaceae.
GACGAACGCUGGCGGCGUGCUUAACACAUGCAAGUCGAACGGUGAAGCGCCUUCCUUUUUGGUGGGUGUGGAUGAGUGGCGAACGGGUGAGUAACACGUGAGUAACCUGCCCCCUUCUUCUGGAUAACCGCAUGAAAGUGUGGCUAAUACGGGAUAUUCUGUGCCUGCUGCAUGGUGGGUGUGGGAAAGAUUGCGCUUUUGGGUGUUUUUGGUGGGGGAUGGGCUCGCGGCCUAUCAGCUUGUUGGUGGGGUGAUGGCCUACCAAGGCGGUGACGGGUAGCCGGCCUGAGAGGGUGGACGGUCACACUGGGACUGAGACACGGCCCAGACUCCUACGGGAGGCAGCAGUGGGGAAUAUUGCACAAUGGGCGCAAGCCUGGUGCAGCGACGCCGCGUGAGGGAUGGAGGCCUUCGGGUUGUGAACCUCUUUCGCCAGUGAAGCAGGCCUGCCCCUUUUGUGGGUGGGUUGACGGUAGCUGGAUAAGAAGCGCCGGCUAACUACGUGCCAGCAGCCGCGGUAAUACGUAGGGCGCGAGCGUUGUCCGGAAUUAUUGGGCGUAAAGAGCUCGUAGGCGGCUGGUCGCGUCUGUCGUGAAAUCCUCUGGCUUAACUGGGGGCUUGCGGUGGGUACGGGCCGGCUUGAGUGCGGUAGGGGAGGCUGGAACUCCUGGUGUAGCGGUGGAAUGCGCAGAUAUCAGGAAGAACACCGGUGGCGAAGGCGGGUCUCUGGGCCGUUACUGACGCUGAGGAGCGAAAGCGUGGGGAGCGAACAGGAUUAGAUACCCUGGUAGUCCACGCCGUAAACGUUGGGCACUAGGUGUGGGGGGCCUUUUCCGGGUUUUCCGCGCCGUAGCUAACGCAUUAAGUGCCCCGCCUGGGGAGUACGGCCGCAAGGCUAAAACUCAAAGGAAUUGACGGGGGCCCGCACAAGCGGCGGAGCAUGCGGAUUCAUUCGAUGCAACGCGAAGAACCUUACCAAGGCUUGACAUGUGCCGGUCGGCUCCGGAGACGGGGUUUCCUCCUUGUGGGGCCGGUUCACAGGUGGUGCAUGGUUGUCGUCAGCUCGUGUCGUGAGAUGUUGGGUUAAGUCCCGCAACGAGCGCAACCCUUGUCUCGUGUUGCCAGCACGUUGUGGUGGGGACUCGCGGGAGACUGCCGGGGUCAACUCGGAGGAAGGUGGGGAUGACGUCAAAUCAUCAUGCCCCUUAUGUCUUGGGCUUCACGCAUGCUACAAUGGCCGGUACAGAGGGCUGCGAUACCGUGAGGUGGAGCGAAUCCCUUAAAGCCGGUCUCAGUUCGGAUCGGUGUCUGCAACUCGACACCGUGAAGUUGGAGUCGCUAGUAAUCGCAGAUCAGCAACGCUGCGGUGAAUACGUUCUCGGGCCUUGUACACACCGCCCGUCACGUCAUGAAAGUCGGCAACACCCGAAGCCCGUGGCCUUAUGGGGAGCGGUCGAAGGUGGGGCUGGUGAUUGGGACG